CACUCCUACGGGAGGCAGCAGUGGGGAAUUUUACGCAAUGGGGGAAACCCUGACGUAGCGACACCGCGUGAGCGAAGAAGCCCUUUGGGGUGUAAAGCUCUGUCAGCUGGAACGAAAACAAUGACGGUACCAGCAGAGGAAGCAUCGGCUAACUACGUGCCAGCAGCCGCGGUAAGACGUAGGAUGCGAGCGUUGUCCGGAUUUAUUGGGCGUAAAGAGUUCGUAGGUGGUUUGUUAAGUUUGGUGUUAAAGAUCGGGGCUCAACCCUGGGACUGCACUGAAUACUGGCAGACUCGAGUGUGGAAGAGGCUAGUGGAAUUCCCAGUGUAGCGGUGAAAUGCGUAGAUAUUGGGAGGAACACCGGUGGCGUAGGCGACUAGCUGGGCCAUAACUGACGCUGAGGAACGAAAGCCAGGGGAGCGAAUGGGAUUAGAUACCCCAGUAGUCCCA
Molecule: ribosomal RNA, 450 nt
Filed under: uncultured organism
Description: partial 16S ribosomal RNA
Rfam family: Bacterial small subunit ribosomal RNA
Source: RNAcentral